Molecule: ribosomal RNA, 334 nt
Filed under: Siphonaria sp. CAS IZ 189434
Lineage: Eukaryota; Metazoa; Mollusca; Gastropoda; Siphonariida; Siphonariidae
Also listed under: 1 other name
Description: partial 12S ribosomal RNA
Source: RNAcentral
AAAGAGCUUCAAAACUAACGCCUAAGGAGUAAGACUUUAAAGUGAAAACUUAAAGGACAUGGCGGCUUAAUCAAAUCAGGGGAACUUACUUCAUAAAUGAUAACCCUCAAGUUAAUCCACCUCCAGAUAAAGCUUAUAUACCGCCGUCUAGUGUCUAAUUAAGUUAGGCCCGCCAAAAAGCGUUUCUCAAGUCAGGUUAUGGUGUAGCCAAUAAGGAGGAGACUAGCGAGUUACAAUAAAAUUUUUUUUCGGAUUUCUUAAAGUAAAUGAGAAGAAAGAUGGACUUGAAAGUAAAAAGCAAUAAAAUUAAAUUUUGAAUUAUAAGUUUAAGUGU